CGCGCCGUCAGCCCGUCAGGCCCACGCCGCGGCGAAGUUUUGACAGCUGCUCCAGUUGUUGUGGCCUUUUCAGCUUUAUUAUAUGUACAGUCAAAGGAAGCUUGGAGCAGGGAAGAAAGCUGCCAUAUGAAAGGUAAGCUACAAAUUAAAAGGAGAGAGGAAAUUGGGAUUUCUAGACAAUUAUAUCACUUAUCGUUGUGGUAUAUUGAACCCAGAACUGCACACACAGCUAAGCUAGCACUCCACCACUGAGUUUUAUCCCUAGACUGAAUCGUUUUUAAAGAUUUUUUUUUAAAAGAAAUGUUUUUUGUUUGUGUUCGUGUCCGAAUGAGUUUAUGUGCACCAUGUAUAUGGAGAUACCAGAGAAGGCCAGAAAGUGUCCAGUCCCCUAGAAUGAGGUUACAGGCAAUUGUGAGCUGCCAUGUGGGCAUUGGAAAUCAACUCCAGUUUCCUGCAAGAACAGUGCUCUGAAUCGCUAAGCCAGGUCUCCAGCCCCUGGACCUGGCUUUUAAAUAUAAACUUUUAAAAUAAAGCCUUUUUCUUUUGAUACUAGAAUAAGAAUAGUAUUCAUCUAAAAAAAAUUAAACGUUAUAUUAUUGUUGCUAUGGUUAAAAUAGAGGAAUGGGCAUGGAACCAGGUAUAGUGGCCCAUACCUUAAAUACCAGGACUAGAAAGACAGAGGCAGGUGGAUCUCUAUGAGUUUGGGGACAGCAUGGUCUGCAUAAGACAGCCCAACCAAGACUACAUAGUGAGACCCUGUCUUUAAAAAAAAAAAAAAUUAGGGCUAUACAUAAUGAAACUUAUGAUACUUGGCUUCAGGUAUGUAGUUAUUCAUGUUAUUCAUUAAUUAAAACAAAAGAUGAUAGAACUUAAUAAAAAAAAACAAAUUGUAAAAUAUAGCUCAAAAUCAAAUAGGCUUGAUGAUACAAACCUAUAACCCAAUACUUGGGAGGAGGAAGCAGGGGGAUGAGUAGUAAGUAGUUCAAAGACAUUUGUCACUCUGUAGUGGAAUGGAAGCCAGCCUAGGAAAUGCAUAGCACCCUAUCUC
Molecule: long non-coding RNA, 1048 nt
Filed under: Mus caroli (Ryukyu mouse)
Lineage: Eukaryota; Metazoa; Chordata; Mammalia; Rodentia; Muridae
Description: lncRNA (MGP_CAROLIEiJ_G0005994.1)
Source: RNAcentral